RNAcentral lists this ribosomal RNA (439 nucleotides) under uncultured bacterium. RNAcentral describes it as "partial 16S ribosomal RNA". It matches the Rfam family "Bacterial small subunit ribosomal RNA", at positions 338 to 795 of the family's 1533-position model. The record is from RNAcentral.
CCUACGGGAGGCAGCAGUAGGGAAUAUUGCUCAAUGGGGGAAACCCUGAAGCAGCAACGCCGCGUGGAGGAUGAAGGUUUUAGGAUUGUAAACUCCUUUUGUUAGAGAAGAUUAUGACGGUAUCUAACGAAUAAGCAUCGGCUAACUCCGUGCCAGCAGCCGGGGUAAUACGGAGGAUGCGAGCGUUACCCGGAUUUAUGGGGUUUAAAGGGUGCGCAGGCGGCCUGUUAAGUCAGCGGUAAAAGCCUGGGGCUAAACCCCGGCGAGCCUUUGAAACUGGCGGGCUUGAGUUGGAGAGAGGUAGGCGGAAUGCGUGGUGUAGCGGUAAAAUGCUUAGAUAUCGCGAAGAACACCGAUUGCGAAGGCGGCGUACCGGCUCCACACUGACGCUGAGGCACGAAAGCGUGGGUAUCGAACAGGAUUAGAUACCCGAGUAGUC